This 778-nucleotide ribosomal RNA is filed under the name uncultured bacterium. RNAcentral describes it as "bacterial SSU rRNA". It matches the Rfam family "Bacterial small subunit ribosomal RNA", at positions 60 to 808 of the family's 1533-position model. The record is from RNAcentral.
AGUCGACGAACUUCUUUAUCACCGAGUGCUUGCACUCACCGAUAAAGAGUUGAGUGGCGAACGGGUGAGUAACACGUGGGCAACCUGCCCAAAAGAGGGGGAUAACACUUGGAAACAGGUGCUAAUACCGCAUAACCAUAGUUACCGCAUGGUAACUAUGUAAAAGGUGGCUAUGCUACCGCUUUUGGAUGGGCCCGCGGCGCAUUAGCUAGUUGGUGGGGUAAAGGCUUACCAAGGCAAUGAUGCGUAGCCGAACUGAGAGGUUGAUCGGCCACAUUGGGACUGAGACACGGCCCAACUCCUACGGGAGGCAGCAGUAGGGAAUCUUCCACAAUGGGCGAAAGCCUGAUGGAGCAACGCCGCGUGGGUGAAGAAGGUCUUCGGAUCGUAAAACCCUGUUGUUAGAGAAGAAAGUGCGUGAGAGUAACUGUUCACGUUUCGACGGUAUCUAACCAGAAAGCCACGGCUAACUACGUGCCAGCAGCCGCGAUAAUACGUAGGUGGCAAGCGUUAUCCGGAUUUAUUGGGCGUAAAGGGAACGCAGGCGGUCUUUUAAGUCUGAUGUGAAAGCCUUCGGCUUAACCGGAGUAGUGCAUUGGAAACUGGGAGACUUGAGUGCAGAAGAGGAGAGUGGAACUCCAUGUGUAGCGGUGAAAUGCGUAGAUAUAUGGAAGAACACCAGUGGCGAAAGCGGCUCUCUGGUCUGUAACUGACGCUGAGGUUCGAAAGCGUGGGUAGCAAACAGGGUUAGAUACCCUGGUAGUCCACGCCGUAAACG